Cordylochernes scorpioides is the source of this 9932-nucleotide non-coding RNA. The record is from the annotation of a GenBank genome assembly. NCBI's taxonomy places the organism in Eukaryota, Metazoa, Arthropoda, Arachnida, Pseudoscorpiones, Chernetidae.
UAGUAUUUCAAAUUCUACAUGUAAUAUCUUAAAAUUGUUCUUACCAACUCGUCAUUGGGAGUGUUUUGUCUGGCAUGUUCCCCGCUUCUCUUAAAUCAGGGAAGAUAUAUAUAUGAAGGGGAUCAUGGUAGCCAAUACGUUCCCAAACCAGGUUAUUUCUAAAUCACUUUAUCGUGAUGACAAUCUAACCUAUCUUUGUUCUUUACCUGAACAUGUAGUUAACCCUUACUAUACAUUGUUUAGAUGAUCUAUAGAAUGUGUACUCAUACUUUUUACCCACAACUCGAGUUCUUAACAUCUCUCUGAAAAUAUUUUAUUCUAUGUCUACAAUAAAAUAAGACUAGCUCAUUGCUCUAGGCCAUUUCACGGCCGAAUCGAUCUUUCCUAGGAGAAAAAAAAAAUUCUUCCUUCUUAGAUCUGAAACGCUACAUUGGCUUGUUCUGGUAAUUUGCUUCAAAAGUUCAUUUAGAUAUCCUACUAGUUUAAAGUUUAUCUUAACAUAGGACGAGCUAUCCUCGUAAAAAAAAAAAAUUCUACAUACUAAUUGAUGUUUAGAUUUAAAUUCGUUCCGACUAAACGUAUGGUAGACUGAUAGUCUUUAAUUAGGUGAUUAACUUUUGCUAGCCUGGGGCGAUAUAAAACGCAAAGAAUCUGGACAGUCCAUCUGUCACUUUGCUAACUGGUACCUAAAAAUCUGUAGACGGAAUCGCGUCGUCUAAUCGUAACUUGUUUCUUACACGCUCUCUCAUUGUUAACUCUCAUUAGAAACCCCCAUUAGACUAUGACUUAAAACAAGGAAUUAUAGGGACUGUUCACCCAGCACGUGUUUCAAGCUUCCUGUCAUAGAGGGCUGGUUCCAAGCUGCGCAAUAUAUAUAGGAGCUUCAACGCGCCGAUCCUUUCCAACCUCCCGACUGGAUCACCCUCAUUUCAGCCACGCUUAAAGCGUCGUAAACUACGAUGUCAGAUCGGUUAUCCGAGGUUAGUCGUUAAGCACCUUACUUACGACAUCGGCUACUAAGUCUCCCCACCUAGAUCAAAGUUCACCUGGUACCUCUCCGCUUCCUCUAAAGAGGAGGGGACUUGCAGACUUCUGGCCUGACCGUGGCCUUCCACAAAUCCCCCAGUCUGAGAAUCGGGACAUGGUCAUUGCCUACGACUCUUAGAAUUCAAGUUGAUAUGACGAAAUAGGGUGAUUGAUUACCCUAAUAAUAGAAAUCAAACUUAUACUCCCAUAGGAGGAGACCUAACAAAAUGGAGCGAAUUCCUUUCCUAAUAAUAGAGUUGUACAGUCCUGUGAGGCCAUUCGAUCCUAACAAAUAAAGAAAUCAAAAUUAAAAUUGAAUCUAUUUGUUCCCUAGCCCUAUUCUAAAGUAAUUUUGGUCUAACAGUAUAAUAGUUUUUAACUUUGACAACAAUCAUUAAUCAUUCCAUUCAUACAUAUUUCAUUCGCAGACUGCAUUCAUACUAUAGUUAAAAAUUGCUAUAAAUGCCAAAGUACUACAAUUAUCUCUAUCAAAUAAACCCUAACAAUAAUAAAGUCUUUCAGGACCAAUGAGAAAUCAAAUAAAGUUAUCUAAUUAAAACAAAGUGGGGACUAAAGCCCUAUUGACUUAAAUAAAUGCCUCAUACAAACUCUAUAUAAAUUAUCUACUCAUAGAUAAACUUUCUUUAUACUUAAACAAAUUAGUAAAAAUGAUUGUUAACAACCAAAUGCUGAAAUCUAACCUAACACUUUAAAUGUGUGUCUAACAGUUUGAAAAUCUUCUUAUCUUGACACUUGGUGUCUAGACAAACGAAUCAUCAAAACUAGCACUUAAAUGGCGCGAACUGAACUUCAAGCAUUUACCUCAUUGCCGAAUAUGAUAGGUCUACAAGUGUUUUGCCAACGCUACUUCCCAUAUAGGAUCAUUAGCAUUUUUCUUUCCCUGCUAUUCAGCUAAACUCUUUCUUUGGACUUAUAGGGCUUUCAGUAGCCAGCUCGUUCUGGAGUUUAAAAACAGAGGUUACUUGUUGCUCUAUCAUAUUAAUUCUUAGACUGUAAUUGCCUUACACACUCUCAUUAGAAAUUCUCUUUGGACUGUAUAACUGGACCCAGGGAUUUACAGGGAGUCAAGUUUUACCCAACGCAAGCUCCAAGUCAUUCCAUAGGUAAUUGGUUACAAGCACAGCAAUUAUCUAAUGUGUCUAAGUCCCUUAAUUGCUUUUAAAGUUGAACCACUGUUCAGAACCUUCAAUAAAAAAAAUUAAAACAAAAUAAACUGUUGAACUCACGACUUAAAUCACAAUUUGCUUUCAGCACAGAAUAGCCUCUUCAAUUGAAAAAAAAAAACUGAAAAUUCUUUAAGACCACAAUCUAGGGCUUUUAACCCACAUUCUAACACUUCAUACUAUGAUCAAAAUUUAACUAACUCUAGUACACAUUCUAUAGGUUUAAAUCAAUGACAACCUGGGCAUGAUUUACAAUCAGUGGGCCUCUUGACCCUGGUUGAACGGCGUAUUCCAGGGCCGUCAACAUUGCCACCAAUUGCCCUAUUUACUACCUCAGGCGGGUUUCCUAAGGUUGCUGUCUCUCGUGGUUCCUCUGGUUCUACAGUUCUAUGGGAGUAUAUUGGAUAUGUUGGGUGUACCCAGUGAUCCUCAUCAUCAAUGACACCAUCUAUUUGCUCUUGUACGGUUUCGUCCCCUGUAGGGUAAGUCUUUACCGGGGCAUGAUAGGCCUUCAUUCUGUCUAUGUGGAUCUUAUCUAAGUUCCCCGUCUCCAAGUCCUUCAGAAGGUAAACAGUGUCGCCUGUCCUUUGUAGUACCUCAUAUGGUCCUCUGUACCUUGGCUCAAAUUUAUGACGUCCUUUCGUCUCAUGCAUUCUUUUUACCAAAGCUAGAUCCCCCGUCUCAAAGGUCCUUAACUCUCUGGCUUCAAACUCAGCCCUGGCUUCUUGUUGCUCCUUCAAGUAAGUCUGCCUCACCGUCUCUCUCGCCCUUUCAACCUCCUCCACCAAUUCCCGCUCAUAGAAGGCCGCCAUUUCGGUAAUUGAAUCCUCGCAUACAGGAUUAAGCUCCUCUUCCUGGAAAGGUUGUGGGAGCCUCAGCUCAUGUCCGAAGACCAGUUUCGCUGGAGUAAAUCCAGUACUAGAGUGUACAGUGGUCCUGAUAGCUAAGGCUACCAUUGGUAAGGUGGUAUCCCAAUUGUUCCCCGCUGUACACCUGCGUAGAGAUUCUAUUACCGUCCUAUUGAGCCUUUCUACGGCGCCAUUACUCUGAGGUCUCCAGGCCGUGGUAUUUACUGCACCAACCCCCAUAGCCUUGCAGACUCCCUUGAAUACGCAACUCAUGAAUGCUGAUCCUCGGUCAGAGAGUAUCGUUUUUGGUACCCCAAAGGUAGUGAUUAUCCUUUCCAACAAGGCCCUAACCACUGUAUUGGCACACUGGUCCUUAGUAGGAAUCAGGAUUGGGAACUUAGUAAAAAGAUCCACAAUGGUCAGAAUACUCGAAUAACCCCUUGGGGUUAUUUCUAAUGGUCCUAUGAAGUCUAGAGCUAGGUGCUCAAAGGGUUUUUCGGGUCUAAAGUGGGGAGCACUAGCGGCUUUGGCUACGCCUUGAUUCGAUAGCUGGCAGCUCUCGCAUCUGCAUAUAUAUUUCCGGACUUGUGUCCUCAUGCCAGGCCAGUAAUAGUCACCCUUCAGCCUUCUCAUAACCUUUCUAACUCCGAAAUGACCUCCAGUAGCGAUGUCAUGAUGAUAGCUGAUCACUGUUUCCCUAAAACCUGUAGGAACCACCUUCACCCAGGUACCCCUUUCAUUCUUUGUAACGAGGUAUUUGUCUAGUAACCUAUAUUCCCGGUUAUUAUACCUCUCCGUGCUAUUUGGUUUUAAUUUCGUUAACUUAUUCAUUACUGGGGCCCAUCCCUUCUCUUGAAGUAAACCUUCCCAUAUCUGAUUACUAUUUAAUAAGGGGGGCCGACGGUCUCUUACCACCGUGGCCACUACCCUCCUAUCUUGUGGCAGGUUUGGAUCAUCCUCGCACGGGAACCUACUAAGGAAGUCGGCUAUCGUGUUUUCCUUCCCCGGGACAUAAAUGAAUGUAACGUUGAAGUCUUGGAUGAUCUCUGACCACCUAGACAGUCGGGCGUUCUUAUAAUCAGACCCCUUAUUAUAAGUAAUCGGUUUAUGGUCAGUAUGUACUUCUACUCUACUACCCGCCAGGAGGUGUUUAAAGUGUUGUAGGGACAACACUACUGCAUAAGCCUCCUUUUCUAUUGUGGAAUAGCGGAUCUCAGGACCAGUCAGUCUCUUGCUAUAAUAAGCAAUUGGCCUCACUGUCCCAUUGACCUCCUGUUGGAGGCAAGCGCCUACCGCUAUCCCACUGGCGUCAGUGUUCAGGAUGAAAGGUACACCAAUUGUCGGGUGAAUUAGUAGUGGCUCGCUGGUUAAUAUUCCCUUCACCGUCUCAAAGGCUGACUGCUCUAUCAUACCCCAAGCAAAUCUAUGUCCCUUCCUUAAUAGGUUGCUCAGUGGAGCCAGGACCUCACCUGCGUUGGGAAUAAAGCGUCGGUAGUAGUUAACUGUACCCAAUAGACUUCUGACUGCCUUGAUGUUAUGAGGUCGUUUCGAAUUCCUGAGAGCGGCGACAUUAUCCCACAUGGGUUUGAUCCCAUUUUGGUCGAUUACACGACCUAGGUACUCUACUGAGUCCCAGAAGAGAUAGCUCUUCCCGUAUUUGGCCUUCAAACCGAACUUACUCAGGCGUUCGAGUACAGCGGCGAGGUCCGCUACAUGCUGCUCGUGAGAGUCGCUGUAGACAAUGACGUCAUCGAUGUACAGGCGAACGCAUUUGAACAACAAGUCACCCAGGACCAAGUUCAUGGCCCACUGGAAGACCUGUGCUGAGUUUUUAGCUCCUUGUGGCAAACGCGUGAAGCGGUAUCUCCCCCAGGGCAGAGAGAAGGUAAAAUAAUCUCUGUCACUCUCCGGGAUGUGGAUCUGGAAGAAUCCAGAAGUCAGAUCUAAUGUGCUGAAGACCUUUGCACCUGCAAAUGCGCGCAGAUUGUCUUCGACACGGGGUAUCGGGAACGGGAAGAAUUCAGUUGCCUCAUUGAUCAUACGUAGAUCCAUGGUGAUGCGGACACUACCAUCAGUUUUGGCAACCGGGAAUAGAGGGGAAUUCCACAGAGAGGUGCUCCCUUCUACUAUCCCUACUUCCUCCAGCUCGUCCACUAACGCUUUCACCUUUGAGACUAGUUUGUUCGGGAUUGGAUAUUGCCUCCUAUAUACUGGUUUGCUAGUCAGCAUCCUCAGUUUAGGGGCUGUGAUGGUGGAGCCAUUCCCCAUAUCUUUUAUAUCAUUGCAGAAGCAAUGACUGAAGGCCCUGAAAAUAUCGUGGCCCGUGUGGAUCUCGUUUAGGGGUAUCCUGGGUGGUUGAGGAGACAUUUCUAUUGUUUGUAGUGAGGAGAGGAAGGCCGACUUGGUCGGAUCCUCCUUCCUUUCGUAGUCGGACCUAAUACUACCGUCGUAGCUAAGGUGUAGUUUUAGAGCUCGGAAACCUGGUAGUCCGAGUAUGCCAUCAAAUCCUAAUUCCCCCAUGUGACAAUACUCGAAGGUCGUUCUUACCUCCCUAAUGGGCUUACCGUUCACCACUGCCCCUAUUUCUAACACCUCACUCCCUAAUGACCUUAAAGAUUUUCCUGAUAUACCUUUAAGGUAAGUAGGCUUGUCUAGUCCCUCAGUGCAUAAAUUUAAAUUGUCAAUAUUUACAAUGUUGGCCUCUGAGCCUGAAUCUAGGAUAAAUUUUAGACACUUCUCGUCCAGAGACCUCCCUUUAUUCAAAAUAUAUACAUUUAUGGCAGGUAAACUGGCCGCAAAUCCCCCUCCUGCCUUGAGGCAAGCCGUACCUAGUUUUUUCUCUGCUUCUGCUGGCAGUCCCGGAUGAGAUGCCCUGGCUCGCCGCACCCGUAGCACUUGGGGGGCGGUCUCCCUGCGCCCUGCUUCUUGUAGUCCACUCCAGGGUUCUCCUCCCUUUCACCGUUGGGUUCCCUCCUUUGUUGUCUAGGCGGGGAUGGAUUCCGUUGUUGUCUGGGUGGUUGUUGUGCUGGUCUCCUCUGCCAGUUCCUAAAGGGGGCUCCCCUCCUGUUAUCCUGGGAGUUGUCUCCGUAAUCCCUUCUCCCUGCGGGGUGUGAUGGCCACCUUCCUCCCCCACUAUUUGUACUAUUGGCACUUCUUCUUUGUCCUCUAAGGGCUGCAUUCUCUAUUUCUAGUGCCUCCAUUUUCUUCUCCAGGUCGGCCAAUUUGUUGCCCAUGUCACCCAGCCUCUGACCGUUCCUGUCGGCGCUGGAGCGCUGCGCCUCCCUGUAAUCUUCCUCCCUCUGUUCCAGCCACUGUAGUUUGCUUACUAGGGUUUCCCAGGGUUCGCCUUGGUAUAGAUGAGCCUUCUCCCACAGGCUGGGGCAGAGUCCGUCGAUGAAAACCUCCGCGAUUUCCGAGGUGCCUAUCUUCAGGCCAUCCGACUCUGCUCCCGCCGCAAGGUCGCUCACCCGCGCGGCGAAGUCUCGUACUUUCUCCCCGGCCCCUUGUCUACAUGAGAAGAACUGGCUCCUCAUCUCCCUUGUAGAGACCCUCUUUCGGAACCUCCCCUCUAGGCUCUCCUUCAAUUCUUCGUAUCCGAGGCGGAUUUGCUGAGAUUGUAAGGCAAACUCCCUCGCAGCCCCCCGGAGGUGGUUGUCCAAGAGGAUUAUUUUCCUGGCGUCGUCUAGGGCCUUCAGGUCGUAGACAAGUUCAAAGUCCUUUAUGAAUUUCGUGAAGGGGACAAUGCCCUUCCCUUCAAACUUCUCCAGGUUGUAUAGCAUGGAGGGCAGCUGGGCUUGGCUAGUUGCGGCAUUCUCUUCAUCAGCAGGCAUGGUCCUCAGUUGUUGGAUCUACAGGAACUAGGUAUUAGUCAUUCACCCUGGUUGUAACGGGAGUAUUAGGACCCAUAGAGGCGGGCGGAGUAGGAACACAAAACAGAAGGAAGGGGAGGGGCCUUUCUUAAUCAUGUUCCUAAGACACUAUGGGGUUCAUGUUUCAAAAGGAAAUUGGUAUUCAAUAACAUAGAAACCAUACAUGUAUGUGUGUGUGGAUGUGAACGCAAACAUCGCGUUGGGUAAAAAUGAAGAUCCUGUAAAAGAAAUCCGAGUGAUGUGGACGCAAACAUCGCGUUGUGAAAAUUGAAGGUUCUAUAAAAAAAAUCUGAGUGAUGUGAACGCUAACCUCGCGUUGAAAAAAAAAAGAUUCUAUAAAAGAAAUCGAGUGAUGUGAACGCUAACCUCGCGUUGUAAAAAAAUGAUUCUAUAAAAGAAACCUGAGUGAUGUGAACGCUAACCUAGCGUUGUGAAAAAUGAAGAUUCUAUAAAAGAAACCUGAGUGAUGUGAACGCAAACAUCGCGUUGUGAAAAUUGAAGGUUCUAUAAAAGAAACCUGAGUGAUGUGAACGCAAACAUCGCGUUGUGAAAAUUGAAGGUUCUAUAAAAGAAACCCGAGUGAUGUGAACGCAAACAUCGCGUUGUGAAAAUUGAAGGUUCUGUAAAAGAAAUCCGAGUGAUGUGAACGCUAACCUCGCGUUGUAAAAAAAAUUAUUCUAUAAAAGAAACCUGAGUGAUGUGAACGCUAACCAUCGCGUUGUGAAAAAUGAAGGUUCUAUAAAGAAACCUGAGUGUGAUGUGAACGCAACCAUCGCGUUGUGAAAAAUGGAGAUUCUAUAAAAGAAACCUGAGUGAUGUGAACGCAACCAUCGCGUUGUGAAAAUUGAAGGUUCUAUAAAAGAAAUCCGAGUGAUGUGAACGCUAACCAUCGCGUUGUGAAAAAUAAAGGUUCUAUAAAAGAAACCUGAGUGUGAUGUGAACGCAACCAUCGUGUUGUGAAAAUUGGAGAUUCUAUAAAAGAAAUCCGAAUGAUGUGAACGCAAACAUCGCGUUGUGAAAAUUGAAGGUUCUAUAAAAGAAACCCGAGUGAUGUGAACGCAAACAUCGCGUUGUGAAAAUUGAAGGUUCUGUAAAAGAAAUCCGAGUGAUGUGAACGCUAACCUCGCGUUGUAAAAAAAAUGAUUCUAUAAAAGAAACCUGAGUGAUGUGAACGCUAACCAUCGCGUUGUGAAAAAUGAAGGUUCUAUAAAAGAAACCUGAGUGUGAUGUGAACGCAACCAUCGCGUUGUGAAAAAUGAAGGUUCUAUAAAAGAAACCUGAGUGUGAUGAGAACGCAACCAUCGCGUUGUGAAAAUGGAGAUUCUAUAAAAGAAACCUGAGUGAUGUGAACGCAAACAUCGCGUUGUGAAAAUUGAAGGUUCUAUAAAAGAUAUCCGAGUGAUGUGAACGCUAACCUCGCGUUGUAAAAAAUGAAGGUUCUAUAAAAGAAACCCGAGUGAUGUGAACGCUAACCAUCGCGUUGUGAAAAAGGAAGGUUCUAUAAAAGAAACCUGAGUGUGAUGUGAACGCAACCAUCGCGUUGUGAAAAAUGGAGAUUCUAUAAAAGAAACCUGAGUGAUGUGAACGCAACCAUCGCGUUGUGAAAAUUGAAGGUUCUAUAAAAGAAAUCCGAGUGAUGUGAACGCUAACCAUCGCGUUGUGAAAAAUGAAGGUUCUAUAAAAGAAACCUGAGUGUGAUGUGAACGCAACCAUCGUGUUGUGAAAAUUGGAGAUUCUAUAAAAGAAAUCCGAAUGAUGUGAACGCAAACAUCGCGUUGUGAAAAUUGAAGGUUCUAUAAAAGAAACCCGAGUGAUGUGAACGCAAACAUCGCGUUGUGAAAAUUGAAGGUUCUGUAAAAGAAAUCCGAGUGAUGUGAACGCUAACCUCGCGUUGUAAAAAAAAUGAUUCUAUAAAAGAAACCUGAGUGAUGUGAACGCUAACCAUCGCGUUGUGAAAAAUGGAGAUUCUAUAAAAGAAACCUGAGUGAUGUGAACGCAACCAUCGCGUUGUGAAAAUUGAGGGUUCUAUAAAAGAAAUCCGAGUGAUGUGAACGCUAACCAUCGCGUUGUGAAAAAUGAAGGUUCUAUAAAAGAAACCUGAGUGUGAUGUGAACGCAACCAUCGUGUUGUGAAAAUUGGAGAUUCUAUAAAAGAAAUCCGAAUGAUGUGAACGCAAACAUCGCGUUGUGAAAAUUGAAGGUUCUAUAAAAGAAACCCGAGUGAUGUGAACGCAAACAUCGCGUUGUGAAAAUUGAAGGUUCUGUAAAAGAAAUCCGAGUGAUGUGAACGCUAACCUCGCGUUGUAAAAAAAAUGAUUCUAUAAAAGAAACCUGAGUGAUGUGAACGCAAACAUCGCGUUGUGAAAAAUGAAGGUUCUAUUAAAAGAAACCUGGGUGAUGUGAACGCAAACAUCGCGUUCCCACAGGCGAUCAUAUGGAAGGAACCUUCAAAGCUUAAUACACCAAUAACUAUGACAAAGAUAUCCUCAACUCAAUGCAGGUAACCUAAUUGACAACAGGGACGUUAACACAACGAAACCCCUAGCUCACAAUCCAGGGACAAUCAAGAUUAUCACAUUUGGAUACAUCUGAGGUUAUUGGUAACCAAAAAAAAAUCAGGCAAGUUUAGUAAGAAAAAGAAGUCAAGUAAUGUUCAAUAUGUGGUAGAUUUAGAAUUGAUUGACGAGUUCUACAAAAAGGAUAGCCCCAUCAAACAGAGCUAAAAGAAUAAUAAAAAAAAAACUUUACGAUUCAAUCCAACGCUUAAACAAACUCAUAGCCAAAAAAAAAUGAAAAUAAGGCUGAAACUCUUUAAAGCACAGCCUAUCACCAAGUACAAUGUUGUACAUUGAAAGCUUUUAUUAGUCUAAAUAAAAAUUCGUCUAACUAAAGUUAUCAACAUCAAAGCCAAGAUUGCAGCCAAUAAAGAUUGUUUCUUAUCAGGAGAAAUACAUAUUUGUUAUUUAAUAUAUAGCCCAAUAUUAAAACAAAUAUAGUCCUAUGUAU